This 256-nucleotide ribosomal RNA is filed under the name uncultured bacterium. RNAcentral describes it as "partial 16S ribosomal RNA". It matches the Rfam family "Bacterial small subunit ribosomal RNA", at positions 524 to 776 of the family's 1533-position model. The record is from RNAcentral.
UACAGAGGGUGCGAGCGUUAAUCGGAAUUACUGGGCGUAAAGCGUGCGCAGGCGGUUGGUUAAGUCUGAUGUGAAAGCCCCCGGGCUCAACCUGGGAAUGGCAUUGGAAACUGGCUGGCUAGAGUGUGGCAGAGGGGGGGUGGAAUUCCGCGUGUAGCAGUGAAAUGCGUAGAGAUGCGGAGGAACACCGAUGGCGAAGGCAGCCCCCCUGGGCUAGCACUGACGCUCAGGCACGAAAGCGUGGGGAGCAAACAGG